UACGUAGGUGGCAAGCGUUGUCCGGAAUCACUGGGCGUAAAGGGCGCGCAGGCGGGUAAUUAAGUCAGGUGUGAAAACUCUGAGCUUAACUCAGAGAUUGCAUUUGAUACUGGAUAUCUUGAGUGCAGGAGAGGGCAGUGGAAUUCCUAGUGUAGCGGUGAAAUGCGUAGAUAUUAGGAGGAACACCAGUGGCGAAGGCGGCUGCCUGGACUGUAACUGACGCUGAGGCGCGAAAGUGUGGGUAGCAAACAGG
This 253-nucleotide ribosomal RNA is filed under the name uncultured bacterium. RNAcentral's name for it is "partial 16S ribosomal RNA". It matches the Rfam family "Bacterial small subunit ribosomal RNA", at positions 524 to 776 of the family's 1533-position model. The record is from RNAcentral.